CUACGGGAGGCUCCAGGCGCGAAACCUUUACAAUGCACGCAAGUGUGAUAAGGGAAUCCAGAGUGCUCAAGUUUUCUUGGGCUUUUGCCAAGAGCAAAUAUCUUGGCGAAUAAGUGGUGGGAAAGACUGGUGCCAGCCGCCGCGGUAACACCAGCGCCACGAGUGGGGAUCCUGUUUAUUUGGCCUAAAGCGUUCGUAGCUGGUUUAGUAAAUCUCUUGUGAAAUCGUUCGGCUUAACCGAACGGCGUGCAGGAAAGACUGCUAAGCUAGGGACUGGGAGGAGUCAGAGGUAUGCUGUGGGGAGCGGUAAAAUGCUAUAAUCCGCAGUGGACCACCUGUGGCGAAGGCGUCUGACUAGAACAGGUCCGACAGUGAGGAACGAAAGCCAGGGGAGCAAACCGGAUUAGAUACCCCAGUAGUC
Molecule: ribosomal RNA, 421 nt
Filed under: uncultured archaeon
Lineage: Archaea
Description: partial 16S ribosomal RNA
Rfam family: Archaeal small subunit ribosomal RNA
Source: RNAcentral